CCUACGGGAGGCAGCAGUAGGGAAUAUUGCUCAAUGGGGGAAACCCUGAUGCAGCAACGCCGCGUGGAGGAUGAAGGUUUUCGGAUCGUAAAGCCCUAUUGUUAGGGAAGAAAAUGACGGUACCUAACGAAUAAGCCCCGGCUAACUACGUGCCAGCAGCCGCGGUAAUACGGAGGGUGCAAGCGUUACUCGGAAUCACUGGGCGUAAAGAGAGCGUAGGCGGGAUAGCAAGUCAGAUGUGAAAUCCUAUGGCUUAACCAUGGAACUGCAUUUGAAACUGUUCAGCUGGAGUAUAGGAGAGGUAAGUGGAAUUCUUGGUGUAGGGGUGAAAUCCGUAGAGAUCAGGAGGAAUACUCGUGGCGAAGGCGGCCUGCUAGAACGUAACUGACGCUGAUGCGCGAAAGCGUGGGGAGCAAACAGGAUUAGAUACCCCAGUAGUC
RNAcentral lists this ribosomal RNA (440 nucleotides) under uncultured bacterium. RNAcentral describes it as "partial 16S ribosomal RNA". It matches the Rfam family "Bacterial small subunit ribosomal RNA", at positions 338 to 795 of the family's 1533-position model. The record is from RNAcentral.